UACGAAGGGUGCAAGCGUUAAUCGGAAUUACUGGGCGUAAAGCGCGCGUAGGUGGUUUGUUAAGUUGGAAGUGAAAGCCCCGGGCUCAACCUGGGAACUGCUUUCAAAACUGGCAGGCUAGAGUAUGGCAGAGGGUGGUGGAAUUUCCUGUGUAGCGGUGAAAUGCGUAGAUAUAGGAAGGAACACCAGUGGCGAAGGCGACCACCUGGACUGAUACUGACACUGAGGUGCGAAAGCGUGGGGAGCAAACAGG
This 253-nucleotide ribosomal RNA is filed under the name uncultured bacterium. Its description in RNAcentral is "partial 16S ribosomal RNA". It matches the Rfam family "Bacterial small subunit ribosomal RNA", at positions 524 to 776 of the family's 1533-position model. The record is from RNAcentral.